Molecule: transfer RNA, 72 nt
Filed under: Toxocara canis (dog roundworm)
Lineage: Eukaryota; Metazoa; Nematoda; Chromadorea; Rhabditida; Toxocaridae
Rfam family: tRNA
About the family: Transfer RNA (tRNA) molecules are approximately 80 nucleotides in length. Their secondary structure includes four short double-helical elements and three loops (D, anti-codon, and T loops).
Source: Rfam by way of RNAcentral
GCGGCAGUGGCUCAGUUGUAGAGUCCUCCCUCUGCAUGCGGGGAGACCUGGGUUCAAUUCCCGGCUGCUUCC